This 254-nucleotide ribosomal RNA is filed under the name uncultured bacterium. Its description in RNAcentral is "partial 16S ribosomal RNA". It matches the Rfam family "Bacterial small subunit ribosomal RNA", at positions 524 to 776 of the family's 1533-position model. The record is from RNAcentral.
UACGUAGGGUGCAAGCGUUAAUCGGAAUUACUGGGCGUAAAGCGUGCGCAGGCGGCUUUGCAAGACAGAUGUGAAAUCCCUCGGCUUAACCGGGGAACUGCGUCUGAUACUGGAUGGCUUGAGUUUGGGAGAGGGAUGCGGAAUUCCAGGUGUAGCGGUGAAAUGCGUAGAUAUCUGGAGGAACACCGGUGGCGAAGGCGGCAUCCUGGACCAACACUGACGCUGAGUGAGCGAAAGCCAGGGGAGCAAACGGG